CCUACGGGAGGCAGCAGUGAGGAAUAUUGGUCAAUGGACGCAAGUCUGAACCAGCCAUGCCGCGUGAAGGAUGAAGGCCUUCUGGGUUGUAAACUUCUUUUAUUGGGGAAGAAAACUACGGUUUCUACUGUAGCCGACGGUACCCAAGGAAUAAGCACCGGCUAACUCCGUGCCAGCAGCCGCGGUAAU
Molecule: ribosomal RNA, 189 nt
Filed under: uncultured bacterium
Lineage: Bacteria
Description: partial 16S ribosomal RNA
Rfam family: Bacterial small subunit ribosomal RNA
Source: RNAcentral